Molecule: ribosomal RNA, 253 nt
Filed under: uncultured bacterium
Lineage: Bacteria
Description: partial 16S ribosomal RNA
Rfam family: Bacterial small subunit ribosomal RNA
Source: RNAcentral
UACAGAGGGUGCGAGCGUUGUUCGGAAUCACUGGGCGUAAAGCGCGCGCAGGCGGGCGAGUAAGUCAGAAGGGAAAUUCCGGGGCUCAACCCCGGAGCUGCUCCUGAUACUGCACGUCUGGAGACCGGUAGAGGCUGGUGGAAUUCCCGGUGUAGCGGUGGAAUGCGUAGAGAUCAGCAGGAACACCCGUGGCGAAGGCGGCCCCCUGGGCCGUACCUGACGCUGAGGCGCGAAGGCUAGGGGAGCGAACGGG